AGAGUUUGAUCCUGGCUCAGAUUGAACGCUGGCGGAAUGCUUUACACAUGCAAGUCGAGCGGCAGCACGGGGGCAACCCUGGUGGCGAGUGGCGAACGGGUGAGUAAUACAUCGGAACGUGCCCAGUCGUGGGGGAUAACGCAGCGAAAGCUGUGCUAAUACCGCAUACGAUCUACGGAUGAAAGCGGGGGACUCGCAAGGGCCUCGCGCGAUUGGAGCGGCCGAUGGCAGAUUAGGUAGUUGGUGGGGUAAAGGCUCACCAAGCCUGCGAUCUGUAGCUGGUCUGAGAGGACGACCAGCCACACUGGGACUGAGACACGGCCCAGACUCCUACGGGAGGCAGCAGUGGGGAAUUUUGGACAAUGGGCGCAAGCCUGAUCCAGCCAUUCCGCGUGCAGGAUGAAGGCCUU
This 410-nucleotide ribosomal RNA is filed under the name uncultured bacterium. RNAcentral describes it as "bacterial SSU rRNA". It matches the Rfam family "Bacterial small subunit ribosomal RNA", at positions 8 to 418 of the family's 1533-position model. The record is from RNAcentral.